GUCUUUGCUGCACAAUCCGGCAGCCCUUAUAUGUAACAAAACAUUGCUUCUAGAACAUUCUUGCAAUUACAAAUUCGCUAACUAGUUGCUUUUGGCAGUUUAUCGUUGAUUCGAUUUUGUUCUAUCAUCUAUAUAACUAUCGAUAGUCCCAUCGGCUGUUUUGCAACUUUACUUUAUAGCAUCAAAAGGCGUUUAUAAAAAAGGAACCAGGAACUAUGUUGUUUUCUUGUAAUUCAAAGAAAUAAUAUAUAACUGUAUUAACUUAUUUGUCAUGCUCACUGCAGUUCAUAAAUAUCAACAAGUUAUAAUGUCUGGAGAACUCACCGAAGAUGAAAUCAUUUAAAAUUGCGUAACUGACGGGAAUGAAAGUGACGAUGAUGCUGAUCAAUCACCGAGUUCGGAUAGAGAAAUUGAAACUAUGCCAGGCAUGAAGCUUUAGAGGCUUUGGAGACGCUCCACAAGUUUUUCGAAUACUCGGCGGUUGGUGAUAAGACUAUAUUUGAUAAAAUAUAUGAACUCGAAAAGCAUACAAUACCCAUAGUAUAAACUUAGAGACAGAAAAAAAGUUGACUCAUUUUUUUUAAAUAAAAUUGCCUGUUACUUGCUUCUUUGUAUUUAUGCAUUUUAAUAA
This is a non-coding RNA of Bactrocera oleae (olive fruit fly), 631 nucleotides long. Lineage: Eukaryota; Metazoa; Arthropoda; Insecta; Diptera; Tephritidae. The record is from RefSeq and is a predicted model, not a curated record.